CGUGGCGGGGUGCUAUACAUGCAAGUCGAGCGGACAGAAGGGAGCUUGCUCCCGGAUGUUAGCGGCGGACGGGUGAGUAACACGUGGGUAACCUGCCUGUAAGACUGGGAUAACUCCGGGAAACCGGAGCUAAUACCGGAUAGUUCCUUGAACCGCAUGGUUCAAGGAUGAAAGACGGUUUCGGCUGUCACUUACAGAUGGACCCGCGGCGCAUUAGCUAGUUGGUGAGGUAACGGCUCACCAAGGCGACGAUGCGUAGCCGACCUGAGAGGGUGAUCGGCCACACUGGGACUGAGACACGGCCCAGACUCCUACGGGAGGCAGCAGUAGGGAAUCUUCCGCAAUGGACGAAAGUCUGACGGAGCAACGCCGCGUGAGUGAUGAAGGUUUUCGGAUCGUAAAGCUCUGUUGUUAGGGAAGAACAAGUGCAAGAGUAACUGCUUGCACCUUGACGGUACCUAACCAGAAAGCCACGGCUAACUACGUGCCAGCAGCCGCGGUAAUACGUAGGUGGCAAGCGUUGUCCGGAAUUAUUGGGCGUAAAGGGCUCGCAGGCGGUUUCUUAAGUCUGAUGUGAAAGCCCCCGGCUCAACCGGGGAGGGUCAUUGGAAACUGGGAAACUUGAGUGCAGAAGAGGAGAGUGGAAUUCCACGUGUAGCGGUGAAAUGCGUAGAGAUGUGGAGGAACACCAGUGGCGAAGGCGACUCUCUGGUCUGUAACUGACGCUGAGGAGCGAAAGCGUGGGGAGCGAACAGGAUUAGAUACCCUGGUAGUCCACGCCGUAAACGAUGAGUGCUAAGUGUUAGGGGGUUUCCGCCCCUUAGUGCUGCAGCUAACGCAUUAAGCACUCCGCCUGGGGAGUACGGUCGCAAGACUGAAACUCAAAGGAAUUGACGGGGGCCCGCACAAGCGGUGGAGCAUGUGGUUUAAUUCGAAGCAACGCGAAGAACCUUACCAGGUCUUGACAUCCUCUGACAACCCUAGAGAUAGGGCUUUCCCUUCGGGGACAGAGUGACAGGUGGUGCAUGGUUGUCGUCAGCUCGUGUCGUGAGAUGUUGGGUUAAGUC
Molecule: ribosomal RNA, 1067 nt
Filed under: Bacillus aerophilus
Lineage: Bacteria; Bacillati; Bacillota; Bacilli; Caryophanales; Bacillaceae
Description: bacterial SSU rRNA
Rfam family: Bacterial small subunit ribosomal RNA
Source: RNAcentral